CAGUAACCACAACAUCACUACAGCACCACUACGACCAGUAACCACAACAUCACUACAACCAGUAACCACGACACCACUACGACCAGUCACUACAACAUCACUACGACCAGUCACGACAACAUCAAUACGACCAGUCACUACAACACCACUACGACAAGUAACCACAACAUCACUACAGUCACUACAACAUCACUACGACCAGUCACGACAACAUCACUACGACCAGUCACGACAACAUCACUUACGACCAUCACUACAACAUCACUACGACCAGUCACUACAACAUCACUGCGACCAGUCACUACAACAUCACUGCGACCAGUCACUACAACAUCACUGCGACCAGUCACU
Molecule: long non-coding RNA, 351 nt
Organism: Oncorhynchus tshawytscha (Chinook salmon)
Lineage: Eukaryota; Metazoa; Chordata; Actinopteri; Salmoniformes; Salmonidae
Source: Ensembl